This 228-nucleotide ribosomal RNA is filed under the name uncultured bacterium. RNAcentral's name for it is "partial 16S ribosomal RNA". It matches the Rfam family "Bacterial small subunit ribosomal RNA", at positions 103 to 334 of the family's 1533-position model. The record is from RNAcentral.
CGGGUGAGUAGUGUAUGGGGAUCUGCCUGAUGGCGGGGGAUAACUACUGGAAACGGUAGCUAAUACCGCAUAAUGUCUGCGGACCAAAGCGGGGGACCUCCGGGCCUCGCGCCAUCAGAUGAACCCAUAUGGGAUUAGCUUGUAGGUAAGGUAACGGCUUACCUAGGCGACGAUCCCUAGCUGGUCUGAGAGGAUGAUCAGCCACACUGGGACUGAGACACGGCCCAG